GGGUUGUGAGGUUAAGCGACUAAGCGUACACGGUGGAUGCCCUGGCAGUCAGAGGCGAUGAAGGACGUGCUAAUCUGCGAUAAGCGCCGGUAAGGUGAUAUGAACCGUUAUAACCGGCGAUUUCCGAAUGGGGAAACCCAGUGUGAUUCGUCACACUAUCAUUAACUGAAUCCAUAGGUUAAUGAGGCGAACCGGGGGAACUGAAACAUCUAAGUACCCCGAGGAAAAGAAAUCAACCGAGAUUCCCCCAGUAGCGGCGAGCGAACGGGGAGGAGCCCAGAGCCUGAAUCAGCAUGUGUGUUAGUGGAAGCGUCUGGAAAGGCGCGCGAUACAGGGUGACAGCCCCGUACACAAAAGCGCAUGUGCUGUGAGCUCGAUGAGUAGGGCGGGACACGUGGUAUCCUGUCUGAAUAUGGGGGGACCAUCCUCCAAGGCUAAAUACUCCUGACUGACCGAUAGUGAACCAGUACCGUGAGGGAAAGGCGAAAAGAACCCCGGCGAGGGGAGUGAAAAAGAACCUGAAACCGUGUACGUACAAGCAGUGGGAGCNGUGACUGCGUACCUUUUGUAUAAUGGGUCAGCGACUUAUAUUCUGUAGCAAGGUUAACCGAAUAGGGGAGCCGGAGGGAAACCGAGUCUUAAUUGGGCGUUAAGUUGCAGGGUAUAGACCCGAAACCCGGUGAUCUAGCCAUGGGCAGGUUGAAGGUUGGGUAACACUAACUGGAGGACCGAACCGACUAAUGUUGAAAAAUUAGCGGAUGACCUGUGGCUGGGGGUGAAAGGCCAAUCAAACCGGGAGAUAGCUGGUUCUCCCCGAAAGCUAUUUAGGUAGCGCCUCGUGAAUUCAUCUCCGGGGGUAGAGCACUGUUUCGGCUAGGGGGCCAUCCCGGCUUACCAACCCGAUGCAAACUGCGAAUACCGGAGAAUGUUAUCACGGGAGACACACGGCGGGUGCUAACGUCCGUCGUGAAGAGGGAAACAACCCAGACCGCCAGCUAAGGUCCCAAAGUCAUGGUUAAGUGGGAAACGAUGUGGGAAGGCCCAGACAGCCAGGAUGUUGGCUUAGAAGCAGCCAUCAUUUAAAGAAAGCGUAAUAGCUCACUGGUCGAGUCGGCCUGCGCGGAAGAUGUAACGGGGCUAAACCAUGCACCGAAGCUGCGGCAGCGACACUCAGGUGUUGUUGGGUAGGGGAGCGUUCUGUAAGCCUGCGAAGGUGGCCUGUGAGGGUUGCUGGAGGUAUCAGAAGUGCGAAUGCUGACAUAAGUAACGAUAAAGCGGGUGAAAAGCCCGCUCGCCGGAAGACCAAGGGUUCCUGUCCAACGUUAAUCGGGGCAGGGUGAGUCGACCCCUAAGGCGAGGCCGAAAGGCGUAGUCGAUGGGAAACGGGUUAAUAUUCCCGUACUUGGUGUUACUGCGAAGGGGGGACGGAGAAGGCUAUGUUGGCCGGGCGACGGUUGUCCCGGUUUAAGCGUGUAGGUGUGUGUUCCAGGUAAAUCCGGUUCACUUUAACACUGAGGCGUGAUGACGAGGCACUACGGUGCUGAAGCAACAAAUGCCCUGCUUCCAGGAAAAGCCUCUAAGCAUCAGGUAACAUCAAAUCGUACCCCAAACCGACACAGGUGGUCAGGUAGAGAAUACCAAGGCGCUUGAGAGAACUCGGGUGAAGGAACUAGGCAAAAUGGUGCCGUAACUUCGGGAGAAGGCACGCUGACANGGAGCUGAAGUCAGUCGAAGAUACCAGCUGGCUGCAACUGUUUAUUAAAAACACAGCACUGUGCAAACACGAAAGUGGACGUAUACGGUGUGACGCCUGCCCGGUGCCGGAAGGUUAAUUGAUGGGGUCAGCGCAAGCGAAGCUCCUGAUCGAAGCCCCGGUAAACGGCGGCCGUAACUAUAACGGUCCUAAGGUAGCGAAAUUCCUUGUCGGGUAAGUUCCGACCUGCACGAAUGGCGUAAUGAUGGCCAGGCUGUCUCCACCCGAGACUCAGUGAAAUUGAACUCGCUGUGAAGAUGCAGUGUACCCGCGGCAAGACGGAAAGACCCCGUGAACCUUUACUAUAGCUUGACACUGAACAUUGAGCCUUGAUGUGUAGGAUAGGUGGGAGGCUUUGAAGCGUGGACGCCAGUCUGCGUGGAGCCGACCUUGAAAUACCACCCUUUAAUGUUUGAUGUUCUAACGUGGACCCGU
RNAcentral lists this ribosomal RNA (2188 nucleotides) under Salmonella enterica subsp. enterica serovar Infantis. RNAcentral's name for it is "partial 23S ribosomal RNA". It matches the Rfam family "Bacterial large subunit ribosomal RNA", at positions 1 to 2236 of the family's 2925-position model. The record is from RNAcentral. Lineage: Bacteria; Pseudomonadati; Pseudomonadota; Gammaproteobacteria; Enterobacterales; Enterobacteriaceae.